RNAcentral lists this ribosomal RNA (467 nucleotides) under uncultured bacterium. Its description in RNAcentral is "partial 16S ribosomal RNA". It matches the Rfam family "Bacterial small subunit ribosomal RNA", at positions 29 to 507 of the family's 1533-position model. The record is from RNAcentral.
ACGAACGCUGGCGGCGUGCUUAACACAUGCAAGUCGAACGGAAAGGCCCUGCUUUUGUGGGGUUCUCGAGUGGCGAACGGGUGAGUAACACGUGAGUAACCUGCCCUUGACUUUGGGAUAACUUCAGGAAACUGGGGCUAAUACCGGAUAGGAGCUCCUGCUGCAUGGUGGGGGUUGGAAAGUUUCGGCGGUUGGGGAUGGACUCGCGGCUUAUCAGCUUGUUGGUGGGGUAGUGGCUUACCAAGGCUUUGACGGGUAGCCGGCCUGAGAGGGUGACCGGCAACAUUGGGACUGAGAUACGGCCCAGACUCCUACGGGAGGCAGCAGUGGGGAAUAUUGCACAAUGGGCGGAAGCCUGAUGCAGCAACGCCGCGUGCGGGAUGACGGCCUUCGGGUUGUAAACCGCUUUCGCCUGUGACGAAGCGUGAGUGACGGUAAUGGGUAAAGAAGCACCGGCUAACUACGUG